This is a long non-coding RNA of Herpailurus yagouaroundi (jaguarundi), 2243 nucleotides long. RefSeq lists it as uncharacterized. NCBI's taxonomy places the organism in Eukaryota, Metazoa, Chordata, Mammalia, Carnivora, Felidae. The record is from RefSeq and is a predicted model, not a curated record. The transcript has 5 exons.
GGGAAAGUGUUGAAGAGUUUGAGGCUGGCAUCAUCAUAGUUCAAUCUACUGUGUGUCUCUGGCAUGUCAGGCUUUGUGCUGAGGAUGCGCCUAUUAAAUACCAUGAGCUUAGAAAUUCUCCCAGUGCUAUUUAUUCCCUUUCCAGGAACACCAGCAAGCCGAAUGUACCCAGUUGCUCCAGUGUGUGGAAUAGAAAGACAUGCUUCUGAAAUGUCUGGAGGGGACAUUGGUGAGAGCUGGAGGUAGAAGUCCCAUGGAUGGCGUAAGGCUUGCGUGAGGUCCUCGGGUUUGGGGAAUGGGGAAUGCAUCCUGGGCAGGGAGGGCAGAGUAAGCAGAGUGGCGGGAGGUGGGAGGAAAACUCUGCCUCCUUCCAUCCCUCUUUCUUCUCUCUGUGCGUGUGUUUCCUCAUCUGUCCUCCAUCACGCCCCUGUGGAGCAGGUAUGAUUGCCCCUAUUUUCAGGUGGGGAAACUGAAGCCCAUAACAGUAAUUAGCCAAGGACACUCAGCCAUGAGGUGGCAUGGACACUUGCCUGGAGUGGGAAGGGUUUUCACAGCUGGGUGGCCUACCAGAGAGAGGGCCAAAGGUUCUGCCACAGGCGAAGACGAGUUUGUGUUAGAAGGCGAAUUUCAGCCAUCUUGUCUGCUGUUGGCGAAAGGUGGGAUUCCACGUCUCCAUGUGGCAGUGCUUGGAUAAGGGCCGGGAGUGGGACGUGGACCGGCUGUAACCCACCUGCCUGUGUUGCCGGUGCCAGACGGCUGGUCCCGCCUCUCGCCAGCGCCCUCCAGCUGCUGUCCUUCUGACAUCUGUCACCAGCAUGGAGGUGAGGCUCUGGCCAGGACUGCGGUUGCCUGCGCUCUGAGGCCUGCUGAGCGUGGGAGUGUUGUCUUGGCCGUUUUCCCCUCUCCGGGUUCAAGGAGGUUACUUUGAGGCUGGGCUUAGCAGGAUUGCAUAGCUUUCUCUUGCUUCUCACCCCAGAGUCAUCUCCGAGUUUCCUGGGGAGACAGCGCCUCCCCUGCCAUUCUCUCUGUAGGACCCGGGCUUUCUGUCCUUGCUAACGAGGCCCCUCUAAGGAACCGGCAUCCCCUCUUUAUUCAGGCCUAACUGGCUAACCCCCCCUGGGUCUGUGGUGCUCUGGGCAAUUUGGGAGCUGCUCAGGCUCCAUCCAGGGCCCCACUCAGGCUUCAGGGACUGUUCCCUUGGCUGUGAACCCUUGGUCCUGUCCAGGCAGCACUGAAUCCAUGGGCGUGUGACUCAUGCAGUUGCAUAAAGUCCGUGCUUAGAAGGGCCGCAUGAUGGGUUUCAUGCUCUGAGGCUCCAGUCUUGAAAUUCUUAGUAGUUUUGUCCUUGCACCUAUGCUUUGAAAGUGGAUCUAAUGGGACCACGAAGCAUGCAUGGUGUGCGUGUCCACAGUGCUUUAUGUUCACAGGUAGUGUUCUUGGUGCCCGUGAUCUCUGAAGUCUGAUGGAUGUGACAUGUAGGGGGCCAGCAUGCCUCAGAGGGUAGAAGGUAGGCAUGUUGUGUCUAAACCUAAGUAAGUAGAGGUGCCGAUGGCCCCCAGAAGCCAUGCUUCCUGUCGAGCUAGAACUUACACUGAAUGCAGAAAGAAGGCAGUGGCGUUCUAGAAGCAUGAACCACGGAGGAAUCCUAUCUGUCAUAUCCAUUCUUGUGUCACUUCCUGGUGUUCAUUAGCCACUCAUGCCGGGAGCAAUGGCAUAGAACAAAAGGCGAAGAUAGGUUGUCCCCGAGUUCCUUCCUUUAUGUCCCUCGUCGUCAUCAGUGAGCCAGACUGACCCUCUGAGGAGAUACUGUUCUAGAAGAGGAAACGGAGGUCCAGAGAGGUCACAGCACUGCACUUUUGUGCCUAUCACAGAAGCCCUUGAAGCCUCAUGAUGAAUUGGAAACGAGGUACCGAACGGAGAGGUGCCCAUGGCUGUGAACGGCAUGGUGCAGUGGACGGAGCACAGACCUGGGGCACAGGACGAGGCCGGUGGUGAUGGAAACAACGAAGAGCGGCCUCCAUCACUGUGAGAUUGGAGUGCUGCUGGGGGACACCGUCAUCGCGGGGACAUACACACGCGCAAGUGCAGGAGAGUUCGGAGAAGGAAAGUACCUGGGGAAAAUGGGUGCAACGGAUGCAGAGAUGGUUGGUGGGAAUGCAGACUGGUCAGCAGCUCUGGAAAACAGUAUGGAGUUUCCUCAAAAAACUAAAAAUAGAACUACCCUACGACCCAGCAGUUGCACC